CCUACGGGUGGCAGCAGUGAGGAAGAGUGGUCAAGGGGCGCGAGCCUGAACCAGCCAAGUAGCGUGAAGGAUGACUGCCCUACGGGUUGUAAACUUCUGUUAUAAAGGAAUAAAGUGAGGCACGUGUGCCUUGUUGUAUGUACGUUAUGAAUAAGGAUCGGCUAACUCCGUGCCAGCAGCCGCGGUAAUACGGAGGAUCCGAGCGUUAUCCGGAUUUAUGGGGUUGAAAGGGAGCGUAGAUGGGUUGUUAAGGCAGUUGUGAAAGUUUGCGGCUCAACCGUAAAAUUGCACUUGUUACUGGCAGUCUUGCGUACAGUUGUGGUCGUCGGACUUCGUGGUGUAGCGGU
Molecule: ribosomal RNA, 347 nt
Filed under: uncultured bacterium
Lineage: Bacteria
Description: partial 16S ribosomal RNA
Rfam family: Bacterial small subunit ribosomal RNA
Source: RNAcentral